UACAGAGGUCUCAAGCGUUGUUCGGAUUCAUUGGGCGUAAAGGGCGCGUAGGUGGUGGGGUAAGUCGGAUGUGAAAUCCCGGGGCUCAACCCCGGAACUGCAUUCGAAACUGCCUUGCUCGAGUACUGGAGAGGAGACUGGAAUUUACGGUGUAGCAGUGAAAUGCGUAGAUAUCGUAAGGAAGACCAGUGGCGAAGGCGAGUCUCUGGACAGUUACUGACACUGAGGCACGAAGGCCAGGGGAGCAAACGGG
Molecule: ribosomal RNA, 253 nt
Filed under: uncultured bacterium
Lineage: Bacteria
Description: partial 16S ribosomal RNA
Rfam family: Bacterial small subunit ribosomal RNA
Source: RNAcentral